Molecule: long non-coding RNA, 1708 nt
Filed under: Homo sapiens (human)
Lineage: Eukaryota; Metazoa; Chordata; Mammalia; Primates; Hominidae
Description: HSALNT0345991
Source: RNAcentral
UGGCCGCCAUUGUGGUGGAAGUCGGAGCGAGUCUCCUGGGCCCGAACCGGCUGUUGGAAGUGCGAGGGCACCGAGAGCCACGGUACCUGUCUGUUUUUCCCAUGGUAAAAGAACAAGAAAGACAGAACAAAGAAGGCAGAGCAGAAAAGUUCCAUGUUCCUCCUCACUCCAUCUUGCCUAGCCAAAACAAUUGAACAGUUUCAGAUAUCUAUUUCAAAGAUUUCAGAUAAGUUCUAAAAUGUUUUCUUUUGUUGUGACUUCAGCCUUGACUUGCCUCUACUCUUAAGCACACGUCUAAGCCUGAUCAAAAGGACAAUGUGGGAAUGCAUGAAAGAAUAAUGUGUGCUUUUCAAAAGAUAAGCCAGAUACUGGAAGCAGAAACUCUGAAGGACAAAGUUAAAAUCUAAAGGUAAAUCUUGCUAUCCUUGUGUCUGUAAGAUACAUAGAUUGACAAAAGUAACUAUAAUACAGAGCUAUUUAGAUAAUUCAAAAGAAUUACAUCUUUAGAUUAUUUUAUUGGCUUAUAUCUGAAGAACUAUAAGUUCCAUUUUUAUGCAUAAAUUAGUAGCCUAUUAGUUUCUUUUAAAAAUUCUCUGUAGAUGGAAAGCUUACAUUGGAGUUUUCAUCUUUUCUUUCUCCUUGCCAUUUCUUCAUCAGUUAUCUUUAGUCUAUUACAUGUAUACACACACAUAUGUAGAUAUACACACGGAUAUAUAUAUAUAUAUAUAUAUAUAUGUAUUUUCCUGAAACAAGGUGUUGCACUGUCGCCUAGGCUAGGGUGCAGUGGUGCAGUCACAGCUCACUGCAGCCUCGACCAACUGGGCUCCAGCGAGCCUAUAUCACCUUAGCCUCCUGAGUAGCGUGUAGUACAGACCACCACUCCCAGCUGAUUUUUGUAUUUUUUGUAGAGAUGGGGUUUCACCAUGUUGCCCCAGGCUGUUCUGGAACUCCUGGACUCAAGUGAUCCACCCGCCUCAGCCUCCCAAAGUGCUGGGAUUAUAGGCAUGAGCCUCUGUGCCCAGCCUGUAAAUACAUUUAUGUGAAGACUUUGCUAAAGAAAGAGACAAUGAAAUCAGUGAAGACACCAAUAUGGUACAUGAAAAACAACUUGGAGCAUUAAAUCAAAAUUGCCAAAGAUCACCUUUUUCAAGUGUAAGGCUUGUUUCUUUGUAUACACUUAUCUCUUUUGCAACUUCAUGUUAUCCUGAUGUCUGGGAUAUUAACUUUAAAGAUGAUUUUAUCGUUUUAUUAUGGUAGUUAUUCCUUCGUUCACUUUCCCCUUUAUUGUGGUUAAUCUGCGAAGUAGAUUUGGUCAUGUAAUACACUUUAUUUUUAGCAGUCUCACAGUGUCGUAAAUCUUGUAUUUUAUUGCCUUUAAUGUAAGAAUGAAGGCCAGCAAUCAGGGUGAGGCUGUUCUGUUUCAAACUUGACACUCAAAAACUAACUUCUGUGUUUUCUAUUUUAAGGCUUACUACAGGUAGACUACUUCAGCCAUCAAUUAAAAUAAGCUUUUCUUAAAAAUGAGAUGAUAAUUAGUGACAGCAUUAGAAUCCCUAAUAGUGCGUGUAUGUGUGUGCAUGCACGUGGAUGCAGUAUGAUAGUGGCUGCAGCGACAGAAAACCAAAGUAAUGUGGCUUAACCAUAAUAGGCAUUUAUUUCUCUCUCAUGUAAAAGCCCGAAAAGUGGUCUAUAUUUAUCAGACUUUUUU